CUACGGGUCGCUGCAGUGGGGAAUAUUGGACAAUGGGGGAAACCCUGAUCCAGCAAUGCCGCGUGUGUGAAGAAGGCCUGCGGGUUGUAAAGCACUUUCGGUUGGGAGGACUGCUUCUAGCACUAAUAUUGUUGGAAGUUGACGUUACCUUCAGAAGAAGCACCGGCUAACUCCGUGCCAGCAGCCGCGGUAAUACGGAGGGUGCAUGCGUUAAUCGGAAUUACUGGGCGUAAAGCGCGCGUAGGCGGCUAGAUCAGUCGGGUGUGAAAGCCCCGGGCUUAACCUGGGAACUGCAUCCGAUACUGUCUAGCUUGAGUACAGGAGAGGAGAGUGGAAUUCCACAUGUAGCGAUGAAAUGCGUAGAUAUGUAGAGGAACACCAAUGGCGAAGGCAGCUCUCUGGCCUGAUACUGACGCUGAGGUGCGAAAGCGUGGGGAGCAAACAGGAUUAGAUACCCGCGUAGUC
RNAcentral lists this ribosomal RNA (465 nucleotides) under uncultured bacterium. Its description in RNAcentral is "partial 16S ribosomal RNA". It matches the Rfam family "Bacterial small subunit ribosomal RNA", at positions 339 to 795 of the family's 1533-position model. The record is from RNAcentral.